Molecule: unclassified non-coding RNA, 330 nt
Filed under: soil metagenome
Description: partial contains 5.8S ribosomal RNA, internal transcribed spacer 2, and large subunit ribosomal RNA
Rfam family: 5.8S ribosomal RNA (bases 1-120)
Source: RNAcentral
GAUGAAGAACGCAGCGAAAUGCGAUAAGUAAUGUGAAUUGCAGAAUUCAGUGAAUCAUCGAAUCUUUGAACGCACAUUGCGCCCCUUGGUAUUCCGAGGGGCAUGCCUGUUCGAGCGUCAUUUCAACCCUCAAGCACAGCUUGGUCUUGGGCUUCGCCGCUAACCCGGCGGGUCUUAAAAUCAGUGGCGGUGCCGUCGGGCCCUGAGCGCAGUAAUCUCUCUCGCUAUAGGGUCCCGGCGGAUGCUGGCCAGUAACCCCCAAUUUUCUAUGGUUGACCUCGGAUCAGGUAGGGAUACCAGCUGAACUUAAGCAUAUCAAUAAGCGGAGGA